CAGUGGCGGGGGGAGGGCCAAGGGCGGGCCCAAAGCCCUGUUGCGCAGCGACACCUGGACCAUCCAGAGGACUGAGUCGGGAUACGAGAGCAGCGACCGGCUGAGCAGUGGCUCCACCAACCCUGACUCGCCCGGGGUAGACAGCUUUGCUGGGAAGGAGCAGCGGUUGACACCAGAGGUGCAGUCUCAGAGCAGGGGUCAACUUCACCCAAACAGAUGUGAUUCAAAACCUGAUGCGGUACACUCCCCUUUGCAUCAAGGCAAACAUCAACUGACAACUCAGGGAAAGAACUGCGACCAUCAAGUUUCACAUCUCCUGAAAAGUAGUCCAAGUUCAAGGUAAUGUACCAACUUGGAUAUUGUUAUUAUUGAUAUGUUUAAUGUUGUUAAUUGUCAAUGUGUACAUCCAUAUUUUGUGCUCUUAAAAGGUCUAUUGUGUUCUAUUCUAUUGUAUUCUAUUCUACAGACGAAAAUGUAGAUACAGCUCCGGCAGUUCUAAGAAAGGAGCUGGUCCAGAGAGGGACGCUAGCUCCUCAGACAACAGGAGCAGUCACAUGAUGGCAUCGCCAGAGAUGAGUAACAACAACAGAGGUGGUCACCAUGGCGACAGCCCCGCCCUGCGGCGCUUGGGUAAAACCAGCAGCUCGGAGUGGAACAGCUCCGACGACCUGGCUGGAAAUCUCUCGGAACCAGAGGACAGUGCCUACCGCUCCAGCAACAUCAAGCCCCUUCUGUCCGAGUCUCCCUGCCCCUGUCCCCCCCACCACCUGGCCUUCCACCAACCUCCCCAUAUCGAACUGGAAGAGCCCUCAUCUCAACAUCAGCCCUCCAUGCCGCCAUUGCCUCACCCUAAAGCCGCCCAGCGAGCCUCCCCUCACCAGGGGGAUGUUGGCCACCAUUGCUUCCGUCCCAGGCUACUCCAAGAGCCCUCCCAGACCAGCCCCAGGCCCAGCGUCCGGCCCACCCCGGCCUCACAUACCCCCAGCCCCAACCAGAGGUCGGAAUCCAAUGGCCCUCUGCAGAGGCCCUCAUCGAGUGCCAGCUCCAAGUCAGGCUCGGACCCAGAAAGGAGCAACCCAUCGUCGGGCGAAAGCGAGGAGAGGUUCCCCAUCUGCAGGCCACCUGGAGCCGAGUUAGCGGAAGCCCAAGGGGUUUCCCUCACCACGUACUUCAGCGUGGACAAUUGCAUGACAGACACGUACAGACUUAAGUACCAUCACCAGCGACCCCUCCUACUCUCAGCUAUCGUGCCCAAAGCACCAACUGAGCCCCGAGAACAACCCAGCCACCACCUGCACCCCGCAAAUACACACUCCAUGCUAGACCCACCCAAAACCCGGCCUGAUGCAGGUCAUAACAGCAAUAAGCCCACUGCAAAAUGGAACCCAGUGACAGCCAAAGGACUGGAUGAGCGUGGCUAUUUGUGAUGAAAUUACCUG
Molecule: long non-coding RNA, 1439 nt
Filed under: Salmo trutta (river trout)
Lineage: Eukaryota; Metazoa; Chordata; Actinopteri; Salmoniformes; Salmonidae
Description: lncRNA (ENSSTUG00000018490.1)
Source: RNAcentral